Molecule: non-coding RNA, 29 nt
Filed under: Mus musculus (house mouse)
Lineage: Eukaryota; Metazoa; Chordata; Mammalia; Rodentia; Muridae
Source: RNAcentral
UAAGCAAAUAAGCUACAGGCCCCUGACCC